Molecule: ribosomal RNA, 239 nt
Filed under: uncultured bacterium
Lineage: Bacteria
Description: partial 16S ribosomal RNA
Rfam family: Bacterial small subunit ribosomal RNA
Source: RNAcentral
CAACGUAAACAACCUGCCUUCAGGAUGGGGACAACAGACGGAAACGACUGCUAAUACCGAAUAAGUUCCAAGAGCCGCAUGGCCCAUGGAAGAAAAAGGUGGCCUCUACCUGUAAGCUAUCGCCUGAAGAGGGGUUUGCGUCUGAUUAGCUGGUUGGAGGGGUAACGGCCCACCAAGGCGACGAUCAGUAGCCGGUCUGAGAGGAUGAACGGCCACACUGGAACUGAGACACGGUCCAG